GCCCCUGUAGCUCAGUAGGAUAGAGCGACAGAUUCCUAAUCUGUGGGCCGCGUGUUCGACUCACGCCAGGGGCA
Molecule: transfer RNA, 74 nt
Filed under: Smithella sp. SCADC
Lineage: Bacteria; Pseudomonadati; Thermodesulfobacteriota; Syntrophia; Syntrophales; Smithellaceae
Rfam family: tRNA
About the family: Transfer RNA (tRNA) molecules are approximately 80 nucleotides in length. Their secondary structure includes four short double-helical elements and three loops (D, anti-codon, and T loops).
Source: Rfam by way of RNAcentral